This 462-nucleotide ribosomal RNA is filed under the name uncultured Smithella sp. RNAcentral describes it as "bacterial SSU rRNA". It matches the Rfam family "Bacterial small subunit ribosomal RNA", at positions 920 to 1382 of the family's 1533-position model. The record is from RNAcentral. Lineage: Bacteria; Pseudomonadati; Thermodesulfobacteriota; Syntrophia; Syntrophales; Smithellaceae.
CCCGGCACAAGCGGUGGAGCAUGUGGUUUAAUUCGACGCAACGCGAAGAACCUUACCAGGGCUUGACAUCCCCUGACCGCGUAUGAAGACGUUUUCACUUCGGGAGACAGGGAGACAGGUGGUGCAUGGUUGUCGUCAGCUCGUGUCGUGAGAUGUUGGGUUAAGUCCCGCAACGAGCGCAACCCCUAUCUUUAAUUGCCAUCAUUCAGUUGGGCACUUUAGAGAGACUGCCGGUGUUAAGCCGGAGGAAGGUGGGGAUGACGUCAAGUCCUCAUGGCCUUUAUGUCUAGGGCUACACACGUGCUACAAUGGGUGGUACAAAGAGCAGCUAACUCGCGAGAGUAUGCAAAUCUCAAAAAGCCAUCCUCAGUUCGGAUUGGAGUCUGCAACUCGACUCCAUGAAGUUGGAAUCGCUAGUAAUCGCGGAUCAGCAUGCCGCGGUCGAAUACGUUCCCGGGCCUU